UACGUAGGGGGCAAGCGUUGUCCGGAUUUAUUGGGCGUAAAGAGCGUGUAGGCGGCUUUGCAAGUCCGUUGUGAAAACUCGAGGCUCAACCUCGAGACGCCGGUGGAAACUGCAAAGCUAGAGUCCGGAAUAGGAGAGUGGAAUUCCUGGUGUAGCGGUGAAAUGCGCAGAUAUCAGGAAGAACACCCGUGGCGAAGGCGGCUCUCUGGGACGGUACUGACGCUGAGACGCGAAAGCGUGGGGAGCGAACAGG
Molecule: ribosomal RNA, 253 nt
Filed under: uncultured bacterium
Lineage: Bacteria
Description: partial 16S ribosomal RNA
Rfam family: Bacterial small subunit ribosomal RNA
Source: RNAcentral